RNA transcript from Hordeum vulgare subsp. vulgare (domesticated barley), 2975 nucleotides. RefSeq lists it as uncharacterized. The record is from RefSeq and is a predicted model, not a curated record. NCBI's taxonomy places the organism in Eukaryota, Viridiplantae, Streptophyta, Magnoliopsida, Poales, Poaceae. The transcript is spliced from 4 exons.
UGACACAACCCGCACGUCUCAUCUUCUCCAAUCGAGAAGCGGCCUCUACGACACGUGCACAUCGAUGCCGGAGCUCCCAGUUCAGCUUCGCCGCGCUCCUCCCCUGAUCUCAUGUGCGUCCUUCCCCGCCGUCGUAGUUGCCUUCUCCGCCGCUCCCUUCUGGCUCGCGCAGCUCCCCUUCCCCCCUUGCCUAUCAGUUGAAUCUCCCCUUGUUCAACCCAAAAAUCGUUUCUUCUUCCUCCGGUUUGUGUCUCCUGUUCGCGCACACGGCCUCCUCGUCGACCCCGCCGCCGGAGGAUACGCGGGGUAGGCAACAGAGGCUCGCACUGCGCCUGCACGACCUCUCAUGCGCGUGGGCCGCCGCAUCGCGGGCCUACGCACCGGUCGCCGCCUCGGCCGUGCGCCCGUCCGCAGAGGAGGAUGCGGGGAUUGCGUUCGCCGCCAAGGUGUCCUCGAUCUUCUUCAUACUGACCCGGCAACUCCCAACUUUGUGCCAGAGGAUGUAAAAAUGAGACACGCCUUCUUAAUACUGACCCGACAGGGCCUGAGGUUCGAGUGCUCGAGCAGCUGCGAGAUACAGAGGAGGAGUAACACUGUCACGUGCACGGGCAGAGCUCCACCAAGACAAGGGAGCUGCUACUGGAGCUCUGCUGAUGAUCAAAACGAUCACAACAAGGGAGCUACGGAUUAAUUUCCCUCUGUAUCAGUUGAAGGUGAGAGGCGGACUACCAGAGUCGGAGGCGGAGGCCUCGGGGAUCGGGUGGCGGCGAUUGGGGGGGUGUCGGUGUCGCCCACCAGCAGCAGCGACGGUAGCAGAGGCGACGCCCACCACCACCACAAUCAGUCGACGGCUGAAGUAGACUAGCACGGCGACCAGCCUGACGGCCGUGAGCGGCGGAAUCGGGGGUGAAGCACACUAGUGAGGCGGCGGAGGUCUUGUUGGUGGGUGCACGGCGGAAUCGGGGGUGAAGCACACUAGUGAGGCGGCGGAGGUCUUGUUGGUGGGUGCACGGCGGAAUCGGGGGUGAAGCACACUAGUGAGGCGGCGGAGGUCUUGUUGGUGGGUGCACUCGCCUGCGGCGCAAGACCUUCUCUUGAAUACGGUUGGUUGCGGAGGCUGGCCGUGGCGACGCGGGUGGCAGGAGGAGGAAGGAAAGAGAGGGGGAUUUAUUUCUAGAACUUCGCAAGUAGAAGGACUAAAAUGCAAAAAAAAAAAUGUACUACGCCCAUAACAAUUGUCUUUAUGCAUCUUGUUCAUCCGUGACUCUCACAAAGCAGAACAGUUUACUUUUGUUAAGAUUAAUCUUUAGGACCGAUAUAUAAUUGUUUAAAUAUGCAUAACACAAGCUUCAUAUUUCCGGCCUUUCCAUGUCAUGUUUCAUAAAGAUGAUUGUAUCAUCCGCGUACUGUUGUAUGAAACCUCCAACAUAAAAAAGAUGUGGAACUAGACUUACUACGUGUCCGUCCUAGCUUUACCUGUGAGAAUUGCCAACAUACCUACCACUAUGAUGAACAAGAUAGGUGACAUGGGGUCCCCUGCCUGAAACCCUUUUGUGUCUGGAAGUAGUGACCUAUGGUGUUAUUUACUUUAAUUUCAACAUUGCCUUUUUGUACAUCAGAAUCGAGUUGCGUCCUUCAUAAAUCGUCGAAUCCCUUCAUACAUAAGGCUUGUUGGAGAAACGGUUAUUUAACCUUAUGAUACUCUUUUUCGAAAUUCACCAUAAAAACCACGCCUUCUAGUAUGUGUCUAUCCGACAUUAAAAUUGUCUGAGUUGGUUACACCACACUAUGUGUAAUCCGUGCUAGUCAAUAGUCUAUGUUCUGGCCUUGAAUCUCGAAUCCAAAGGAGUUGCUAUCAUGCUUCUUUCUGUACUUGGAAUAUGACUAAAGCUGGAGCCACUUAAAACGAGUUGUAAGAGGAGCAUCUAUGGAAGGAAAGUAUGGAACUUUCUGAAUGACGUAGACUACUGAGAAAGUUUUUCUACUUAAUAUAGUUGAUGCAUGUCGAUCUUACAAGGUAAUUUCAAAUUCCCUGUAUGCUACAACACUACAUAGUUGUUUUGAGCGAAUCGGAUCGUGAUUUCUCCAUACUGAUAUUUUAUAAAUUUUCAGAUUACAAAGUAUGGUACAAGGAGGGAGAAGGAGAAGACAUGAAACACCUGGGAGGCAGUUUUUUUUAAAAGGACCUGAGAGGUAGAUGACCUACAAAAACUUAAGAAGACAAACUGUGUACGUGUUGAUGUGCAUGUCCACAGCAUUUUUCACGUUAACUACAGUUUUCUUUUUGAAACGAAGGCUCGCGCUGACCCGGUUUUAAAUUAACAAAGCCAUCAACCGACCAGGAUUACAACUGUCAACACCUUACAAGCAAGAAAAAAAAAUACACGACAGAUACAAGGUGCAUAAACGAGACAGCUCAAAGGCCACGACAUAGCGAUCAAAAAGCAUCGCAAUGCCACGGCCAUCGCCCUAUGGUACAACCUACACCUGCAAAACAGACUAAGGGCUACCGAGGAAUGCACCAUCGCACUUAAAUAGAUGUCACAGCCGUCCUUGAAUGAUCAGACAUGGACAAAAACAUCAUCUGGCUCGAAUGUUGAGACAUGGGCAAAAACAUCAUCUGUAUCCGUCGUCGUAGAAGGCCUCUAUCCUCUCAGCCUGGUUCGGAGGGUGCCGCACCGGCAGCCGAUAGGUCGGUUCUCCCUAGAAUUCAGGUAGAUGGCACCCAAGUUGCCAAUGAGAAGAAACUUAAACAUCAUCAUUAAGAUGAAACUGAAACAGAUCCUUAACUACGUUCGAAUGCACCCCGUAGCCCGAAGGACAUAUGUGUAGAUUCAUACAUAUGUUCUACACGUUUUAUUUGUUUAUACUUACAAAUUAUUUUGGCAAAGUUAAUUAAUACUGAAGAGAAGCCACUGGAACAUGGAUAUGAAAAUCAACAUACAUUGGAAAUGCAUACACAAUUCAUCAGAUUA